UGGGGAAUAUUGGACAAUGGGGGCAACCCUGAUCCAGCAAUGCCGCGUGUGUGAAGAAGGCCUUCGGGUUGUAAAGCACUUUUAUCGGGGACGAAACGCGCCGGGUGAAUAGCCUGGUGAACUGACGGUACCCGAGGAAUAAGCACCGGCUAACUCCGUGCCAGCAGCCGCGGUAAUACGGAGGGUGCAAGCGUUAAUCGGAAUUACUGGGCGUAAAGCGUGCGUAGGCGGUAAGUUAAGUCUGCUGUGAAAUCCCUGGGCUCAACCUGGGAAUGGCGGUGGAUACUGGCUUGCUGGAGUACGGCAGAGGAAGGUGGAAUUCCCGGUGUAGCGGUGAAAUGCGUAGAGAUCGGGAGGAACACCCGUGGCGAAGGCGGCCUUCUGGGCCUGUACUGACGCUGAGGCACGAAAGCGUGGGGAGCAAACAGG
Molecule: ribosomal RNA, 429 nt
Filed under: uncultured bacterium
Lineage: Bacteria
Description: bacterial SSU rRNA
Rfam family: Bacterial small subunit ribosomal RNA
Source: RNAcentral